UUGACCUCGAAUCAGGUAGGAAUACCCGCUGAACUUAAGCAUAUCAAUAAGCGGAGGAAAAGAAACCAACCGGGAUUACCUCAGUAACGGCGAGUGAAGCGGUAACAGCUCAAAUUUGAAAUCUGGCUCUUCCGGAGUCCGAGUUGUAAUUUGUAGAAGAUGCUUUGGGUUGUGGGUUCGGCCUAAGUUCCUUGGAACAGGACGUCAUAGAGGGUGAGAAUCCCGUAUGUGGCCGAGGCCCGCGCCUAUGUAAAGCUCUUUCAACGAGUCGAGUUGUUUGGGAAUGCAGCUCAAAAUGGGUGGUAAAUUUCAUCUAAAGCUAAAUAUGGGCCAGAGACCGAUAGCGCACAAGUAGAGUGAUCGAAAGAUGAAAAGCACUUUGGAAAGAGAGUUAAACAGUACGUGAAAUUGUUGAAAGGGAAGCGCUUGCAACCAGACUUGGGCGCUGCCGAUCACCUUGAGUUUUCUCGAGUGCACUCGACAGCGCACAGGCCAGCAUCGGUUCGGGUGGCUGGAUAAAGGCCGUAGGAAUGUGGCUCUCUUCGGGGAGUGUUAUAGCCUACGGUGCCAUGCAGCCCAGCCGGACCGAGGACCGCGCCUUCGGGCUAGGAUGCUGGCGUAAUGGUUGUAAGCGACCCGUCUUGAAACACGGACCAAGGAGUCUAACAUCUAUGCGAGUGUUUGGGUGGUAAACCCAUACGCGGAAUGAAAGUGAACGUAGGUGAGAACCCC
RNAcentral lists this ribosomal RNA (732 nucleotides) under Erysiphe quercicola. RNAcentral's name for it is "eukaryotic LSU rRNA". It matches the Rfam family "Eukaryotic large subunit ribosomal RNA", at positions 1 to 745 of the family's 3401-position model. The record is from RNAcentral. Lineage: Eukaryota; Fungi; Ascomycota; Leotiomycetes; Helotiales; Erysiphaceae.